Alosa sapidissima (American shad) is the source of this 833-nucleotide long non-coding RNA. RefSeq lists it as uncharacterized. The record is from RefSeq and is a predicted model, not a curated record. Lineage: Eukaryota; Metazoa; Chordata; Actinopteri; Clupeiformes; Clupeidae. The transcript is spliced from 3 exons.
UUACUAUAGCAUGGUUGUCCAUAACGCUAGAAUGAUGUCUGGGAUACUUUUCCUCGCGUCGAUGAAAAAGGAUUGUCUAUUCUACGUUGUAACAUAAAUCUGCUAUGACGGAUCACAGGCAAAGGGCACUGUAAAUUGUAGUUAUUUUUCAUUGCUUUUGCUUUAUAGCCUAAAUGUAUCCUAAUCUGAUAAUGCUAAGGUAGCCAAUUCCAAGGGUAACGUUCACAUCCUGAGGCCUGUCCUGUAGUCUUAUUAAUUGUAGACGUAGCCUACUAAUUACUAAAUUGAAAGUUUUUCACCAUAUGAGUGUAGCCUACACCUCAGAAUGGGGGAAGGGUAGACUAGCCUAGUCCAUUACACUUGUGAAUGGAGCAAGGUAGACCAGCCAGCCCAUUGAGACUGAUCAUUGAGGGUCUAAGUCAUUAUCAUGCAGAACAAUAAAAUACAGACAAAACUGCUUUGAUUGAACUUUAGUCAAUGCAUCUACCAAAAUACAUCUUUCCUCACGGUCAUAAAAUGAAUGUACUUUGUUUGUGGUUAAAGUGAGACAUUCUAACAUGUACUGCUCUUUUUUGUCCAGCUAUGAGAGAGAACUGAGAGCAGUCACAUCAACACCAAUGAAGGGAAAGCCCUCUAGUAUUAACUACUCCAGAAGUGUCCAGCAUUUCUAGUGGGACAGACAGAUGAGCAUCUUGGCGCAAUUGCAGAAGCCCCUGAAAUUAAGAACCUUGAACAGAGGAUCAGCUUUCCAGGAGACUGCAAAUUUAGAAUGAUGGCCCAUGUUGCUUCAAAGGCACCAUACAAAAAGGAAGGGUUCAUGUGUAAAUACCAUA